This 466-nucleotide ribosomal RNA is filed under the name uncultured bacterium. Its description in RNAcentral is "partial 16S ribosomal RNA". It matches the Rfam family "Bacterial small subunit ribosomal RNA", at positions 28 to 505 of the family's 1533-position model. The record is from RNAcentral.
GACGAACGCUGGCGGCGUGCUUAACACAUGCAAGUCGAACGGAAAGGCCCUGCUUUUGUGGGGUGCUCGAGUGGCGAACGGGUGAGUAACACGUGAGUAACCUGCCCUUGACUUUGGGAUAACUUCAGGAAACUGGGGCUAAUACCGGAUAGGAGCUCCUGCUGCAUGGUGGGGGUUGGAAAGUUUCGGCGGUUGGGGAUGGACUCGCGGCUUAUCAGCUUGUUGGUGGGGUAGUGGCUUACCAAGGCUUUGACGGGUAGCCGGCCUGAGAGGGUGACCGGCCAAAUGGGGAGUGGAAACGGGCCAAGCACCCCAGGGGGGGCAGCGGGGGGAAAUAUUGCACAAUGGGGGGAAGCUGGAUGCAGCAACCCCGGGGGGGGGAUGCGGCCCUUCGGGUUGAAAACCGUUUUCGCCUGGGACGAAGGGUGAGUGACGGUAAUGGGAAAAGAAGCACCGGCUAACUACG